GAUGAACGUUGGCGGUGUGCCUAAUACAUGCAAGUCGAACGGAGAUCGUAGCAAUACUGUCUCAGUGGCGAACGGGUGAGUAACGCGUUGGUGACCUGCCCCGAAGUGUGGAAUAACAGUUCGAAAGAGCUGCUAAUACCGCAUAAUAUCACAAAGAUUAGAACCUUUUUGAUUAAAGGAUUUAUUCGCUUCGGGAGGGGCCUACGUCCCAUCAGCUAGUUGGUAAGGUAAUGGCUUACCAAGGCUAUGACGGGUAGGGGACCUGAGAGGGUGGCCCCCCCCAAUGGAACUGAAACACGGUCCAUACACCUACGGGUGGCAGCAGUAGGGAAUAUUAGUAAUGGGCGAAAGCCUGAACUAGCAACACCGCGUGUGCGAAGAAGGCCUUCGGGUUGUAAAGCACUUUUUGAGAGGAUGAGGAAGGACGGUACUCUCAGAAUAAGUCUCGGCUAACUACGUGCCAGCCGCCGCAGUAA
This 476-nucleotide ribosomal RNA is filed under the name uncultured bacterium. RNAcentral's name for it is "partial 16S ribosomal RNA". It matches the Rfam family "Bacterial small subunit ribosomal RNA", at positions 28 to 523 of the family's 1533-position model. The record is from RNAcentral.